RNAcentral lists this unclassified non-coding RNA (381 nucleotides) under Hevea brasiliensis (rubber tree). Lineage: Eukaryota; Viridiplantae; Streptophyta; Magnoliopsida; Malpighiales; Euphorbiaceae. The record is from RNAcentral.
GUAAUAUUUAAGUUAUUUCAAAAUGUUCUAGUUUUGUCACAUAUUAUCUCCCAGAAUUACACUGACAUAUGAAAUUGAAAUGGAGAUGUUAUGUAUUAAAUUUGUAUAUAUGUAUAAGAUUAUGGGAAAACUUAAUUUUUAAAGUGUUCUCACAUUCCCGUACGUAUAGUUUUAGUGUUGGAAGUACAUGAUGUGUUAGUAAAUGCAUAUCAUCAAACAGAACUUGCAGGCUCUUUUCCUGUUGAUUUUGUUUCCAUUUUUUGUCAGUUUAUAUAUUAUUCUGUGAUUUGAAAUUUUUACUUCUGGGAGUAAGUUGGCCUCCUAUUCUGUUGAAGCAUGCUUUCCAAUUUUAAAGUUUGUUAUCUUAAAGCUUUAUACUCA